RNAcentral lists this transfer RNA (72 nucleotides) under Camelus bactrianus (Bactrian camel). It matches the Rfam family "tRNA". Rfam says of the family: Transfer RNA (tRNA) molecules are approximately 80 nucleotides in length. Their secondary structure includes four short double-helical elements and three loops (D, anti-codon, and T loops). The record is from Rfam by way of RNAcentral. RNAcentral also lists the same sequence under 2 other names. Lineage: Eukaryota; Metazoa; Chordata; Mammalia; Artiodactyla; Camelidae.
GAGGGUAUAGCUCAGUGGUAGAGUGCUUGUUUACCAUGCACAAAUUGCUGGGUUCAAGCCCCAGUACCUCCA